This 497-nucleotide ribosomal RNA is filed under the name uncultured bacterium. RNAcentral's name for it is "partial 16S ribosomal RNA". It matches the Rfam family "Bacterial small subunit ribosomal RNA", at positions 28 to 507 of the family's 1533-position model. The record is from RNAcentral.
GAUGAACGCUGGCGGCGUGCCUAAUACAUGCAAGUCGAGCGAACGGACGAGAAGCUUGCUUCUCUGAUGUUAGCGGCGGCCGGGUGAGUAACACGUGGAUAACCUACCUAUAAGACUGGGAUAACUUCGGGAAACCGGAGCUAAUACUGGAUAAUAUUUUGAACCGCUUGGUUCAAAAGUGAAAGACGGUCUUGCUGUCACUUAUAGAUGGAUCCGCGCUGCAUUAGCUAGUUGGUAAGGUAACGGCUUACCAAGGCAACGAUGGAUAGCCGACCUGAGAGGGUGAUCGGCCACACUGGAACUGAGACACGGUGCAGACUCCUACGGGAGGCAGCAGUAGGGAAUCUUCCGCAAUGGGCGGAAGCCUGACGGAGCAGCGCCGCGUGAGUGAUGAAGGUCUUCGGAUCGUAAAACUCUGUUAUUAGGGAAGAACAUAUGUGUAAGUAACUGUGCACAUCUUGACGGUACCUAAUCAGAAAGCCACGGCUAACUACGUG